GUCCAUUUUGUGAUACGUAGUAACAACUGGAGACUGCCAUUUUCCAUCUGCUCAGCACGGCCCAUCAUCUAGUUCUGCUGGAAGAAGAGACUGCAGUAAUACUUGCAUUUUCCAUUUAGCCAGUUCAGCCAGAUGUUCAUGCAUAUUUUAUUAGAAGAAAGAUUUAUUUGCAUAGUACAUGCUGGAGUGAAGUAAAUGGACUGGAUGGUUCUGGACUACAGAACAAAACGAACCACCUGGACUUUGUAAUACAAAGAAGCAAUUAUGAUGAUCCUGCAAAGUGGCUUGUUAACCUGUGUGGUGGGGAUGGCUUCCACAGAGAGAGUCAACAGAAGACAAUCCUCUAAUAAUUUUUAUCUUGGCAGCCUUUUAAAGUGCAACAUAUGUAUAAAUAAAUGCC
Long non-coding RNA from Lepidothrix coronata (blue-crowned manakin), 400 nucleotides. RefSeq lists it as uncharacterized. NCBI's taxonomy places the organism in Eukaryota, Metazoa, Chordata, Aves, Passeriformes, Pipridae. The record is from RefSeq and is a predicted model, not a curated record. The transcript has 3 exons.